Molecule: ribosomal RNA, 1499 nt
Filed under: uncultured bacterium
Lineage: Bacteria
Description: bacterial SSU rRNA
Rfam family: Bacterial small subunit ribosomal RNA
Source: RNAcentral
AGUUUGAUUAUGGCUCAGGAUGAACGCUGGCGGCAUGCCUAAUACAUGCAAGUCGAACGGAGUGAAGCCUUCGGGUUUCAUUCAGUGGCGAACGGGUGAGUAAUACGCAGGGAACCUGGCCAUGGCAGGGGGAUACACUCUGGAAACGGAGCAUAAGACCCCAUAGGCAGUAAGGCGGCAUCGCCUUGCUGUUAAAGAAAGCUGAAAGGCUUUGGCGAUGGAUGGACCUGCGGUGCAUUAGCUUGUUGGUGAGGCAACGGCUUACCAAGGCGAUGAUGCAUAGCCGGCCUGAGAGGGCGGACGGCCACACUGGGACUGAGACACGGCCCAGACUCCUGCGGGAGGCAGCAGUAGGGAAUUUUCGUCAAUGGGCGCAAGCCUGAACGAGCAAUGCCGCGUGAGUGAGGAAGGUCUUCGGACUGUAAAGCUCUGUUGCCGGGGAAAAAGGGGAAAUGCAGGAAAUGGCAUUUCAUGGAUGGUACCCGGCCAGAAAGCCACGGCUAACUACGUGCCAGCAGCCGCGGUAAUACGUAGGUGGCGAGCGUUAUCCGGAAUGAUUGGGCGUAAAGGGUGCGCAGGCGGUCUGUUAAGUCUGAAGGCAAAGGGAUGAGCUCAACUCAUUUAUGAUUCAGAAACUGGCAGACUUGAGGACAGGAGAGGGCGGUGGAACUCCAUGUGUAGCGGUAAAAUGCGCAGAGAUAUGGAAGAACACCAGUGGCGAAGGCGGCCGCCUGGCCUGUGACUGACGCUGAGGCACGAAAGCGUGGGGAGCAAAUAGGAUUAGAUACCCUAGUAGUCCACGCCGUAAACGAUGAGGAGCAGGUGUUGGGAGUGAAAUCUCAGUGCCGAAGCCAACGCAGUGACUCCUCCGCCUGGGGAGUAUGCACGCAAGUGUGAAACUCAAAGGAAUUGACGGGGGCCCGCACAAGCGGUGGAGUAUGUGGUUUAAUUCGAAGCAACGCGAAGAGCCUUACCAGGUUUUGACAUCGGAUGCGAAGGCGCAGAGAUGCGCUGGAGGCUAUCAUCCAGACAGGUGGUGCAUGGUUGUCGUCAGCUCGUGUCGUGAGAUGUUCAGUUAAGUCUGGCAACGAGCGCAACCCCCGUGGUAUGUUACUAACGCAUUUGGGCGAGGACUCAUAUCAGACUGCCGGUGACAAACCGGAGGAAGGCGGGGAUGACGUCAAAUCAUCAUGCCCCUUAUGGCCUGGGCUACACACGUACUACAAUGGCGUCUACAGAGGGAAGCGACCCUGAGAAGGGAAGCGAAACCGGAAAAGGGCGUCCCAGUUCGGAUUGAAGUCUGCAACCCGACUUCAUGAAGAUGGAAUCGCUAGUAAUCGCGGAUCAGCAUGCCGCGGUGAAUACGUUCCCGGGCCUUGUACACACCGCCCGUCAAACCAUGGAAGCCGGCAACGCCCGAAGCCGGUGGCAUAACCUUUUAGGAGUGAGCCGUCGAAGGCGGGGCCGAUGACUGGGGUUAAGUCGUAACAACCUAACCA